RNAcentral lists this long non-coding RNA (646 nucleotides) under Nicotiana benthamiana. Its description in RNAcentral is "long non-coding RNA (NBEN_LNC030620)". Lineage: Eukaryota; Viridiplantae; Streptophyta; Magnoliopsida; Solanales; Solanaceae. The record is from RNAcentral.
AGCCUAGAGAACCAGGGGCACAUAUCACCAUGCAAUUGUGUGCAUAUAGAACAAAUAUAUACAUGAUAUCUGCACAUCAUCCACAAUUCCAUAUUGCGUUUAUCAAUUUUCAAUAUACCUAAAGGUGGUCAUUUACCAGUUUACGUAGUAAGAUGUGAUAGUUCUUAAAAAUUACAGCUGAUUAUAGAUGGAAGCUGACUAGCUCAAUCAAGAAGGCUUAAAUAUGGUGAUAGGUAUUUUUCAUUGGUUGGUGAUCGUGCAUACCAGUCUUGAUGUUCUUAUCACUUCAGUCUAAACUGUGUUUAAUAUAUAGUAAGUAGAUAAAGAAAAACCUGGAUAAUAACAGGAAGAGGUUGAUAGGGAUAUCCCUGUCUUGAUGUUCUUAUCACUUCAUUCUAACUGUGUGAAUAUAUAGUAAGUAGAUAAAGAAAAACCUGGAUAAUCACAGGAAGAGAUUGAUAGGGAUAUUACUUACGAAUAAUCAUCCAUUAGCAAAAGAAUGAUAUGAUAUUUCCAAAGUCAUAUUAUAAUAACAAAUAUUGGACACUAGUUUAACAUACAGAUUGCUAAGAAUGAAAACUCGGUCACAACAGACAAAAAAGAAAUACUUUAGAUAAACUUAAAUGCAACCAUCAACUAUCAAAUG